This 61-nucleotide ribosomal RNA is filed under the name Candidatus Phytoplasma citri. RNAcentral's name for it is "Candidatus Phytoplasma aurantifolia partial 23S ribosomal RNA". Lineage: Bacteria; Bacillati; Mycoplasmatota; Mollicutes; Acholeplasmatales; Acholeplasmataceae. The record is from RNAcentral.
AGGUAUAAAUAAUAGUUAUUUAUCCGGAACAUAAAGGAAGUCUCAUUCCUCACGUUCGUAC